CACACGAGAAUCGCGCAUGCGCGGUGGGUCCAGUUGCAGACCGCGGAGCCCGGUGGGAGUCAGUAUGGCGGCCGAGCGCAAAACUAAGUUGUCCAAGAACUUGCUGCGCAUGAAGUUCAUGCAAAGGGGACUGGACUCGGAAACCAAGAAACAACUAGAAGAGGAAGAAAAGAAAAUCAUUAGUGAAGAGCACUGGUACUUGGAUUUGCCUGAGCUGAAAGAGAAAGAGAGUUUCAUUAUAGAAGAGCAGAGUUUCUUGUUGUGUGAAGAUCUUCUCUACGGAAGAAUGUCAUUCAGAGGAUUUAAUCCUGAGGUUGAGAAAUUAAUGCUUCAGAUGAAUGCUAAGAACAAAGCAGAAGAAGUUGAAGAGCAAACAGUGGAGCUUGAUGUCUCAGAUGAAGAAAUGGCUAGAAGAUAUGAGACCUUGGUGGGGACAAUUGGGAAAAAGUUUGCCAAGAAAAGAGACCGUGCCAUUUACGAAGAAGAUGAAAAUGGAGACAUAAAACCAAUUAAAGCAAAGAAGAUGUUCUUAAAGCCCCAAGAUUGAAGUGGAGGCCUUAGGAUAUGGCUCAGGGAUGAGGGCAUGUUUUGGAACGCACUCUGUCGGCUCCUCUGUAGUUAUUAGGGCCGUAAUGUUUAUGUGUAAAGAAACGUAUACUUUUGGAAACAUGCUGUCUUUGGAACAGACGUGUGAUGGAUGUUAUACAUCCUUUGCUUAGCGGUGUUCAUCAGGAGUGGACUUUUAACCCUUGGUCUCCAAAUGUACAUAGGUGAGGACAGCGCACCUUCCUGCUCUCUACAUCCUGGGGCACAAGCUGGAAGUUUCUCACGGCACCACAGUCCCUGAAUUUACGGAGCAUCUCACCCACCCUCAUGAUCCUCUCCACCGUAAUAGGACUGUGGAAUGGUUACUGAAGGUACAACGCACCGUGGCCCUAGGUGGGAUACAACACUCUUACCUUACAAAAUGUAACUGAUGCUUUGAGUCACUGAGCACUCAGCUGGGCCUGCUGCUCUCGCCAUGGUCAGAACGUACCGUCUGGAAUCAGCGGCGGCAAAGGGAACGGCUCCUCCCACUGCUACUCCCACUAACCCGCACAGACACUUUGCUUCCUGUCCCUCGAUUUCGACCUCUGUUGUUUGGAGCUCUGGGUUCCCAAGGAAGGUUUGUUUCCACUAGGGAAGACGGCAGUGGUCCCGAGAAGACAGAAAUUGAAAUAAUCUGACCAUUUUACCACUACACCUGCAGGCAAAAAACGUUAACUCUCCAGGCUGGUACUUGUGAUCUUGGGAACAAAGGGACAUUUGUGUUGUUCCUACACAAUAGGUGAUGAAGAAGGAUGUUAAACCCAGAGCAUCCUCUAGGGCGUGUGUUUUUAGCACUUCCAUGUCCAGUGACAAGUUUUAAAAGGAAAAGUACAACCUCAGAGGUGAAAAAAGAUUUCAACCCUUUAGACUCGGAAGUCUUGGGUCGUUCUGCUGCUGCUGCUGCU
Molecule: RNA transcript, 1493 nt
Organism: Cervus elaphus (red deer)
Lineage: Eukaryota; Metazoa; Chordata; Mammalia; Artiodactyla; Cervidae
Gene: MPHOSPH6
Gene name: M-phase phosphoprotein 6
Exons: 6
Source: RefSeq, a predicted model, not a curated record